This 1049-nucleotide ribosomal RNA is filed under the name uncultured bacterium. RNAcentral's name for it is "bacterial SSU rRNA". It matches the Rfam family "Bacterial small subunit ribosomal RNA", at positions 8 to 1050 of the family's 1533-position model. The record is from RNAcentral.
AGAGUUUGAUCAUGGCUCAGAUUGAACGCUGGCGGCAGGCUUAACACAUGCAAGUCGAGCGGUAACAGAAGAAGCUUGCUUCUUGCUGACGAGCGGCGGACGGGUGAGUAAUACUUAGGAAUCUGCCCAGUAGUGGGGGAUAGCACGGGGAAACUCGUAUUAAUACCGCAUACACCCUACGGGGAAAAGGGGGCGCUUGCGCUCUCGCUAUUGGAUGAGCCUAAGUCGGAUUAGCUAGCUGGUGGGGUAAAGGCCUACCAAGGCGACGAUCUGUAGCUGGUCUGAGAGGAUGAUCAGCCACACCGGGACUGAGACACGGCCCGGACUCCUACGGGAGGCAGCAGUGGGGAAUAUUGGACAAUGGGGGCAACCCUGAUCCAGCCAUGCCGCGUGUGUGAAGAAGGCCUUUUGGUUGUAAAGCACUUUAAGCAGUGAAGAAGACUCUAUGGUUAAUACCCAUAGACGAUGACAUUAGCUGCAGAAUAAGCACCGGCUAACUCUGUGCCAGCAGCCGCGGUAAUACAGAGGGUGCAAGCGUUAAUCGGAAUUACUGGGCGUAAAGCGAGCGUAGGUGGCUUAAUAAGUCAGAUGUGAAAUCCCCGGGCUUAACCUGGGAACUGCAUCUGAUACUGUUGGGCUAGAGUAGGUGAGAGGGAGGUAGAAUUUCAGGUGUAGCGGUGAAAUGCGUAGAGAUCUGAAGGAAUACCGAUGGCGAAAGCAGCCUCCUGGCAUCAUACUGACACUGAGGUUCGAAAGCGUGGGUAGCAAACAGGAUUAGAUACCCUGGGUAGUCCACGCCGUAAACGAUGUCUACUAGUCGUUGGGGAACUUGAUUCCUUAGUGACGCAGCUAACGCAAUAAGUAGACCGCCUGGGGAGUACGGCCGCAAGGUUAAACUCAAAUGAAUUGACGGGGCCCGCACAAGCGGUGGAGCAUGGUGGUUUAAUUCGAUGCAACGCGAAGAACCUUACCUGGUCUUGACAUAUCUAGGAUCUGCAGAGAAUGCGGGGAGGUGCCUUCGGGAAUAAGAAUACCGUGCCUGCCAUGCU